This 336-nucleotide ribosomal RNA is filed under the name Cryptotermes brevis. RNAcentral describes it as "partial large subunit ribosomal RNA". It matches the Rfam family "Eukaryotic large subunit ribosomal RNA", at positions 687 to 966 of the family's 3401-position model. The record is from RNAcentral. Lineage: Eukaryota; Metazoa; Arthropoda; Insecta; Blattodea; Kalotermitidae.
CGAGUCAUGGGAUGAGACUAAACCCAGAGGCGAAGUGAAAGCGUGGGGCGCGCCGUCGUCUCGGCGGCGGUGCGCCGCUAAGGGAGGACGGUCGGUCCCUGCCCCCGCGAGGGGGCGGGCCGGCCAGCACUCCCGGGGCGCCUCGGCUCCGGCCGCAGGCGCACCCGGAGCGCACACGUUGGGACCCGAAAGAUGGUGAACUAUGCCCGGCCAGGACGAAGUCAGGGGAAACCCUGAUGGAGGUCCGCAGCGAUUCUGACGUGCAAAUCGAUCGUCAGAGCUAGGUAUAGGGGCGAAAGACUAAUCGAACCAUCUAGUAGCUGGUUCCUACCGAAA